This 69-nucleotide transfer RNA is filed under the name Ictidomys tridecemlineatus (thirteen-lined ground squirrel). RNAcentral's name for it is "Spermophilus tridecemlineatus (thirteen-lined ground squirrel) tRNA". It matches the Rfam family "tRNA". Rfam says of the family: Transfer RNA (tRNA) molecules are approximately 80 nucleotides in length. Their secondary structure includes four short double-helical elements and three loops (D, anti-codon, and T loops). Further hydrogen bonds mediate the characteristic L-shaped molecular structure. tRNAs have two regions of fundamental functional importance: the anti-codon, which is responsible for specific mRNA codon recognition, and the 3' end, to which the tRNAs corresponding amino acid is attached (by aminoacyl-tRNA synthetases). tRNAs cope with the degeneracy of the genetic code in two manners: having more than one tRNA (with a specific anti-codon) for a particular amino acid; and 'wobble' base-pairing, i.e. permitting non-standard base-pairing at the 3rd anti-codon position. Lineage: Eukaryota; Metazoa; Chordata; Mammalia; Rodentia; Sciuridae. The record is from Rfam by way of RNAcentral.
GGGGUUGUGGCUCAGUGGAAGAGCGCUCGCCUGGCACGUGGAGGGCCCUGGGUUCGAUCCUCAACACCA